AGUAAAAUAGUGUUAAGUGCACGUGGAGUUUUGGUCUCUAAAGAGGUAAUUCAAUUUGCCUUUUACUU
RNAcentral lists this transfer RNA (68 nucleotides) under Tapes dorsatus. RNAcentral describes it as "tRNA-Gln". RNAcentral also lists the same sequence under 1 other name. Lineage: Eukaryota; Metazoa; Mollusca; Bivalvia; Venerida; Veneridae. The record is from RNAcentral.